GGGUAGGUGGCGGAAUUGGCAUACGCGCAGGGCUUAGGACCCUGUCCCGCAAGGGUUGUGGGUUCAACUCCCACCCUACCCA
RNAcentral lists this transfer RNA (82 nucleotides) under bacterium. Its description in RNAcentral is "tRNA-Leu". It matches the Rfam family "tRNA". From Rfam's summary of the family: Transfer RNA (tRNA) molecules are approximately 80 nucleotides in length. Their secondary structure includes four short double-helical elements and three loops (D, anti-codon, and T loops). Further hydrogen bonds mediate the characteristic L-shaped molecular structure. tRNAs have two regions of fundamental functional importance: the anti-codon, which is responsible for specific mRNA codon recognition, and the 3' end, to which the tRNAs corresponding amino acid is attached (by aminoacyl-tRNA synthetases). tRNAs cope with the degeneracy of the genetic code in two manners: having more than one tRNA (with a specific anti-codon) for a particular amino acid; and 'wobble' base-pairing, i.e. permitting non-standard base-pairing at the 3rd anti-codon position. The record is from RNAcentral.